Neofelis nebulosa (Clouded leopard) is the source of this 792-nucleotide long non-coding RNA. RefSeq lists it as uncharacterized. Lineage: Eukaryota; Metazoa; Chordata; Mammalia; Carnivora; Felidae. The record is from RefSeq and is a predicted model, not a curated record. The transcript has 3 exons.
CUUGCGGGUGCCCCGUCCCCUCCUUUGGAAACGAUACUAUAUUUUCUCUGUGUUUGGCCGAAGGAAAGAAAUAUUUUCAUUAGACUUGCAAGCUGUUUGAAAGAGGGUGACUGGGGAGGGGCAGGUCUGAAAGUGGGUGGCUGUCCUUUGAUCUGGUGGCCUCCGAGCAGGGGUGGCAAAGUUACCAUUUUAGAGGGAACUGUUGGUUUUCCUUCCACGCGGCGUGCGCGCUGCAACGGUGCUCAACCCCACGGCCACAUCGGCUUCAAGCGCGCCCUGAGUGUGUAACACGCAGCACCGAGAGGUGGACGCAACGCUUCACAGACACAACCGUGGGACUGCUUCGCCGAGUUGUGAAAUAAUUGAGAGGUGUUGCAAAUGCAUCCACGCGCCGCGAGUGAGCAACCGACUUCAAGUCUGAACACGUCUCCCGAGGGAUAUUUUAGCUUGACGAUAAUGAUGGCGAGUGUGCGCGCUUGAAAUCAGGAGGGCAAAAGGGCCUGAGGCAGAGCCAAGUUCCGUGGAGGGAAGGGGUGGGACUGGGAGCCACGGGGCGCGCGAGCGGGUGUAGACGCGGGAGGUACUGGCUGCAUCUCUGUUUCCUGGGCUUUAAAGACACUGCUCUUGGCGGCUGCAGAAGGCAAGCCGGCCUUGAAGAAGGGAGCCAAGGAGCCGUGUCUAGGUCUUCCAGAACCGCCCCCCCCCCUUUGGUUAUUACAAAUUUUCCCCACCCUCCUCUGAUGCUGAACGUGUAGCAAAUAAAACAGGGACACGCCAACUGGUCUAGCCCAG